AGAGUUUGAUCCUGGCUCAGGAUGAACGCUGGCGGCGUGCCUAACACAUGCAAGUCGAGCGAUUUACUUCGGUAAAGAGCGGCGGACGGGUGAGUAACGCGUGGGUAACCUGCCCUGUACACACGGAUAACAUACCGAAAGGUAUGCUAAUACGAGAUAAUAUGCUUUUAUCGCAUGGUAGAAGUAUCAAAGCUUUUGCGGUACAGGAUGGACCCGCGUCUGAUUAGCCAGUUGGUAAGGUAACGGCUUACCAAGGCGACGAUCAGUAGCCGACCUGAGAGGGUGAUCGGCCACAUUGGAACUGAGACACGGUCCAAACUCCUACGGGAGGCAGCAGUGGGGAAUAUUGCACAAUGGGCGAAAGCCUGAUGCAGCAACGCCGCGUGAGCGAUGAAGGCCUUCGGGUCGUAAAGCUCUGUCCUCAAGGAAGAUAAUGACGGUACUUGAGGAGGAAGCCCCGGCUAACUACGUGCCAGCAGCCGCGGUAAUACGUAGGGGGCUAGCGUUAUCCGGAAUUACUGGGCGUAAAGGGUGCGUAGGUGGUUUCUUAAGUCAGAGGUGAAAGGCUACGGCUCAACCGUAGUAAGCCUUUGAAACUGGGAAACUUGAGUGCAGGAGAGGAGAGUGGAAUUCCUAGUGUAGCGGUGAAAUGCGUAGAUAUUAGGAGGAACACCAGUUGCGAAGGCGGCUCUCUGGACUGUAACUGACACUGAGGCACGAAAGCGUGGGGAGCAAACAGGAUUAGAUACCCUGGUAGUCCACGCCGUAAACGAUGAGUACUAGCUGUCGGAGGUUACCCCCUUCCGUGCCGCAGUUAACACAAUAAGUAUUCCACCUGGGGAGUACGACCGCAAGGUUGAAACUCAAAGGAAUUGACGGGGGCCCGCACAAGCAGCGGAGCAUGUGGUUUAAUUCGAAGCAACGCGAAGAACCUUACCUAGACUUGACAUCUCCUGCAUUACCCUUAAUCGGGGAAGUUCCUUCGGGAACAGGAAGACAGGUGGUGCAUGGUUGUCGUCAGCUCGUGUCGUGAGAUGUUGGGUUAAGUCCCGCAACGAGCGCAACCCUUAUUGUUAGUUGCUACCAUUUAGUUGAGCACUCUAGCGAGACUGCCCGGGUUAACCGGGAGGAAGGUGGGGAUGACGUCAAAUCAUCAUGCCCCUUAUGUCUAGGGCUACACACGUGCUACAAUGGCUGGUACAGAGAGAUGCGAUACCGUGAGGUGGAGCCAAACUUCAAAACCAGUCUCAGUUCGGAUUGUAGGCUGAAACUCGCCUACAUGAAGCUGGAGUUGCUAGUAAUCGCGAAUCAGAAUGUCGCGGUGAAUACGUUCCCGGGCCUUGCACACACCGCCCGUCA
Molecule: ribosomal RNA, 1359 nt
Filed under: synthetic construct
Also listed under: 1 other name
Description: bacterial SSU rRNA
Rfam family: Bacterial small subunit ribosomal RNA
Source: RNAcentral